RNAcentral lists this ribosomal RNA (468 nucleotides) under uncultured bacterium. Its description in RNAcentral is "partial 16S ribosomal RNA". It matches the Rfam family "Bacterial small subunit ribosomal RNA", at positions 28 to 507 of the family's 1533-position model. The record is from RNAcentral.
GACGAACGCUGGCGGCGUGCUUAACACAUGCAAGUCGAACGGACAGGCCCUGCUUUUGUGGGGUGCUCGAGUGGCGAACGGGGGAGUAAAACGUGUGUAACCUGCCCUUGACUUUGGGAUAUCUUCAGGAAACUGGGGCUAAUACCGGAUAGGAGCUACUGCUGCACGGGGGGGGUUGGAAAGUUUCGGCGGUUGGGGAUCGACUAGAGGCUUAUCAGCUUGUUUGUGGGGUAGUGGCUUACCAAGGCUUUGACGGGUAGCCGGCCUGAGAGGGUGACCGGCCACAUUGCGCCUGCGGUACGGCCCAGUCUCCAACGGUCGGCAACAGUGGGAAAUAUUGCACAGUGACCGCAAGCCUGUUGCAGCAACGCCGCGUUCGUAAUGCCGUCCUUCGGGUUGUAAACCGCUUUCUCCUGUGACGAACCGGUAUUGACGGUAAUGAGUAAAGAAGCACCGGCUAACUACGUG